Molecule: transfer RNA, 69 nt
Filed under: Leiopelma hochstetteri
Lineage: Eukaryota; Metazoa; Chordata; Amphibia; Anura; Leiopelmatidae
Description: tRNA-Val
Rfam family: tRNA
About the family: Transfer RNA (tRNA) molecules are approximately 80 nucleotides in length. Their secondary structure includes four short double-helical elements and three loops (D, anti-codon, and T loops). Further hydrogen bonds mediate the characteristic L-shaped molecular structure. tRNAs have two regions of fundamental functional importance: the anti-codon, which is responsible for specific mRNA codon recognition, and the 3' end, to which the tRNAs corresponding amino acid is attached (by aminoacyl-tRNA synthetases). tRNAs cope with the degeneracy of the genetic code in two manners: having more than one tRNA (with a specific anti-codon) for a particular amino acid; and 'wobble' base-pairing, i.e. permitting non-standard base-pairing at the 3rd anti-codon position.
Source: RNAcentral
CAAAUUGUAGCUUAACUAAAGCUAUUCGCUUACACCGAAGUAAUAUCUGUGCAACCCAGAUCAUUUUGA